GACGAACCGUGCGAACGUUAUUCGGAAUCACUGGGCUUAAAGCGCGUGUAGGCGGGAAGGCACGUCCGUUGCUGAAAUCCCCCGGCUCAACCGGGGAACGGGCGCGGAUACGACCUUCCUGGAGGGACGUUGGGGGACCUGGAACUUCCGGUGGAGCGGUGAAAUGCGUUGAGAUCGGAAGGAACGCCCGUGGCGAAAGCGAGGUCCUGGACGUCUGCUGACGCUGAGACGCGAAAGCCAGGGGAGCGAACGGG
This 254-nucleotide ribosomal RNA is filed under the name uncultured Singulisphaera sp. RNAcentral describes it as "partial 16S ribosomal RNA". It matches the Rfam family "Bacterial small subunit ribosomal RNA", at positions 524 to 776 of the family's 1533-position model. The record is from RNAcentral. Lineage: Bacteria; Pseudomonadati; Planctomycetota; Planctomycetia; Isosphaerales; Isosphaeraceae.